This 215-nucleotide ribosomal RNA is filed under the name uncultured bacterium. RNAcentral's name for it is "partial 16S ribosomal RNA". It matches the Rfam family "Bacterial small subunit ribosomal RNA", at positions 1286 to 1500 of the family's 1533-position model. The record is from RNAcentral.
UCCCAGUUCGGAUUGUAGUCUGCAACCCGACUACAUGAAGCUGGAAUCGCUAGUAAUCGCGGAUCAGAAUGCCGCGGUGAAUACGUUCCCGGGUCUUGUACACACCGCCCGUCACACCAUGGGAGUCGGAAAUGCCCGAAGUCUGUGGCCCAACCGCAAGGAGGGAGCUGCCGAAGGCAGGUCCGGUAACCGGGGUGAAGUCGUAACAAGGUAAC